GGGGAUAUCGGCGACACCUCGACUUACCUGGAUUUCUACUGGCUCCUGUACGACAUACUUAAUGAGGUCAAAGAGUUUGCGGACUUGAAUUGCCAUUACCCCACCUAUUGGCCCGCCGCGUUGCUCGCCCCCGACCACUGCAAUCCCUACCGCCUGGUGGAGGAGACCCGCCGUGCCUUGGAAAACAGAGGUGGUGAAAUUCGGACAGAAUUUAGGUCCUUUACUAAAUCUGGGGAUUUGGUGUUGAGGAUAAAAAAUAUCUUGCUUGAGAGACUUUAAGAAAUGACCUUUGUUAGUGUCUUCCUAACAUUAUUUUUUAUCUGCGGCAACUAAGUCUCCUGGAAAGUGACGCCUGAAUUGUUUAACUUCCUGCCUCGGGAUUUCCAAGGCUUGCGCGCGGUGUUCCCUCCACCAGGCGGAUGGGAUGAUGGGAUCCAAACCCGUUGCUGACUCCACAGAGUGGAAGGAACUGCCUGCACCUCCUUUGUUUCUGCGGUAACGUGCGGGGAGGAAAUUUAAGCCAUUGCUGCCAUCCGGGGGUGUGAGGACUGACCUGAAGGACCUUCCCUCCAUGAUGGUCACGGUGGAAUCCAUCCUGAUAACACAGAUGCUCCUCCCCAUGCUGACUUGGGCAACGAAAGCCACUGCCCCGCCACGGGAGUGAGAGGAACUGACCUGAACAUCGCCUUCCUGCUUGCUGUAGGGAAAGCCUCUGCUGCUGGCCCUGCUGGAGAAAGUCUACCGUCUACGUCAUUGUGCACCGGUACCCAAGACGGCCAGGUAGCUGGGAACACAAGCCACCACAGGUAAGAAAUCUUUACUGUAUUUUUGCCUUUAAUAUUACAGCGAUGUAUUUGGUAAGUUUCCUCCAAAUCUUUGUUCCCUAUACGCUGUUUGAUUAGUCUCUGAAACGAGAACUGCUCAUCGGUUUGUGUUGUUCAUUUCCUAAUUGUUACUCUGUGUGGAAGGAAGUCUGCACCCACGCGGUCAUUCUCCAAAAUGGCGCAUCGAGUCGGUUGUUCCCUGAAUCCCCUGCAAAGCCUUCUCUUUGUGAUGGCCACGGUGGAAUCUAACAUAAUGGCACAGCCGCUGGCGAGUGUUGGAGUCCGACUACUCUCUGGCCCUGAGCUCGAGACUUCAGAUGAAGCCAGACAACCGAAUAUCUCCCCUGCUCCUCCCCGCGGUGCUUGCCUUGCCUUGCCUUGCCGAGUGUACAAGGUUGUGCACAACUAUAGCGACGGAAUGGAUCACAUUAUACACUUGGGUGCCGAUGAACACUGCUAUUACCCGACAUACUGGCCCGUCUCGUUGCUCGCCCCUGACCACUGCAACCAACACUGCCUUCGAUAGAACCUUUGCUGCCACCAGGGGUGGGUGGGUGGAGCCUGGCCUGGACCUCCCCUUCAUGCUGUUCCUGCUGGAGAAAGUCUACCUCCCCUUAAUGAUCCUGCUGGAGAAAGUCUACCUUCCCUUCCUGGUGAAUUCAGUUUGAACUUCAACCCCUGCGUAUUCUAGGGCCCGGCGGUGACCGUCUUUAGAUCAGUGACAUGCCCGAGUUCAGUUUGAACUUCAUCCCCUGCGUUUUCUAAGGCCCGGCGGUGACAGUCUUUAGAUUCAGUGACAUGUCUUGAGUUCAGUUUGAACUUUAUCCCCUUCGUCUUCAAAGGCCCGGCGGUGACCAUCUUUAGAUUAAGAGACUUACCUGAAAUCUGUUUGAAAAUCAUCCCCUACGUUGGAUAAUAGCGGUGCUCUUCCGAGAACCCUUUGACCUCAAUAAGCAUGUCAUGAGCUAGCCAGUAGAAAUUCAGUGAAAACCCUUCGACCUCAAUAAGCAUGUCAUGAGCUAGCCAGUAGAAAUUCAGUGAAAACCCUUCGACCUCAAUAAGCAUGUCAUGAGCUAGCCAGUAGAAAUUCAGUGAAAACCCUUCGACCUCAAUAAGCAUGUCAUGAGCUAGCCAGUAGAAAUUCAGUGAAAACCCUUCGACCUCAAUAAGCAUGUCAUGAGCUAGCCAGUAGAAAUUCAGUGAAAACCCUUCGACCUCAAUAAGUAUGUCAUGAGCUAGCCAGUAGAAAUUCGGUGAAAACCCUUCGACCUCAAUAAGCAUGUCAUGAGCUAGCCAGUAGAAAUUCGGUGAAAACCCUUUGACGCGGCGGGCCAAUGACGCGGCGGGCCAAUAGGUGGGAUAAUAGCAGUUCUCGUCCGCAAACCCUUUGACCUCAUUAAGUAUGUCUUAUAAGAGCCAGUAGAAAUCCAGGUAAGUCGAGGUGUCGCCGAUAUCCCCCAUACCUUGCCUGUCCAGGUACACUUGCGUGACGGUGGGUCCAAGAGUAUGAGGGAGGCCACACUCAUCGUGUGUCGCCGAUAUCCCCCAUACCUUGCCUGUCCAGGUACACUUGCGUGAUGGUGGGUCCAGGAGUAUGAGGGAGGCCACACUCAUCGUGUACCUGUAUCUCUCCCACCGCCGAGAUCUGAAGACCCUGGUGACGAGGACAACCUUCAUCUCAACUAAGCGAGACAGCCAGUUAGGCGCAAGAUCUUGGUGUAUGCUGUGUGUCCAGGGUUAGCUGGAACUCGGAAGGACUCCGACCAGCCUACACCAUUUUGAAUCCGGAUAACGUGGGCGAUCACGUCAUCCGUAAGUGUGAGAAGAGUAUAAGAAACGUCUUCCAAGUUGGUGUUCUCGCCAUUGAUGUUGGAAACGAACGACACAACACGCGAGAAAUCGAGUGGUAUCUAGACCGUGUCGGGGUUUAUGACUGCCUUUUUUUUUUUUUUUUGUGUGUGUGUGUGUGUGUGUGUGUGUGUGUGUGUGUGUGUGUGUGUGUGUGUACGCAAGAUUUAUCCCCUAGUAUCAAAAGGGGAACGGGCCCUUGUCCGAAGACGGCCCGGGGAAACUAGCUCUGUACUUCUUCAAUGUGGGAUUUUCAGGCUUUUGGAGUUUCAACUUUGGCUGUUGUAAAUAUUUCAACUUGGGCUGUAGUAAUUAUUUUAACUUAGCCUGUAGUAUUAAAUUUUUAACUUCAGCUUUUGGAAUUAUUUAUAGUGGUACAUAAAUGCAAUCUAAAUACCGAAGUUAUUGUCCAUAAAUUAUCUAAAAAUGAUGCAAAAAAAAAUACAUUCAACUAUU
This is a long non-coding RNA of Eriocheir sinensis (Chinese mitten crab), 3128 nucleotides long. RefSeq lists it as uncharacterized. The record is from RefSeq and is a predicted model, not a curated record. The transcript is spliced from 5 exons. Lineage: Eukaryota; Metazoa; Arthropoda; Malacostraca; Decapoda; Varunidae.